AUUCCUCUCCUUUACCUGCCUGCCUCGUUACUUAAGGUACACAAGCUGCCCAAGCUGCAGCAUUACGUUACGGAUUACAAAACUGUGCAGGACCAUGAUUGGCCACCAGGGCCACCCUUUAUAAAAAUUGACAGAAGAGAGGAGGACGUAGACAUUCAGGGCUCCUUCUCUUUCAUGACCUGGAACAACAGCCUGCUGAGGCCAACCCAGCACAAAUCUCUAUUUUUUUUCUCUUUCUUUUAUAUUUUUUUUGUUACAGUUCUUAUUCAUCUUUGGGUAAAGUGAGGGUGGGUGACAUUUUGCUUGAUUACCUUGUCUCCUGUUUUAGUAAUAGUGAGCUGGGGUAGUUUAUGUAUUUUGUUUUCAUUAUUUUCAGUUAGGUAUCUCAGUUAGUAUGUUUUGUUUAUUAAUUUGGCCUAUGCUCACCCCUAAAGACAUUCUCCCCAUUUCUGUUUCAAUAAAAUCAUCUUGGUUUAUUUAAUUUGCA
This 487-nucleotide long non-coding RNA is filed under the name Astyanax mexicanus (Mexican tetra). Its description in RNAcentral is "lncRNA (ENSAMXG00005008672.1)". Lineage: Eukaryota; Metazoa; Chordata; Actinopteri; Characiformes; Acestrorhamphidae. The record is from RNAcentral.